UACGUAGGCCUCGAGCGUUAUCCGGAUUUAUUGGGCGUAAAGAGCAUGUAGGAGGCUUCGCGCGUCUCUGGUUAAAGACCACUGCCUAACGGUGGGACUGCCGGGGAUACGGCGGAGCUGGAGGAGGUUAGAGGUGCAUGGAACGCAUGGUGUAGGGGUAAUAUCCGUUGAUAUCAUGCGGAACACCGAAGGCGAAGGCAGUGCACUGGGACCUUCCUGACUCUGAGAUGCGAAAGCGUGGGGAGCAAAAAGG
RNAcentral lists this ribosomal RNA (253 nucleotides) under uncultured bacterium. RNAcentral's name for it is "partial 16S ribosomal RNA". It matches the Rfam family "Bacterial small subunit ribosomal RNA", at positions 524 to 776 of the family's 1533-position model. The record is from RNAcentral.